Molecule: ribosomal RNA, 492 nt
Filed under: uncultured bacterium
Lineage: Bacteria
Description: partial 16S ribosomal RNA
Rfam family: Bacterial small subunit ribosomal RNA
Source: RNAcentral
AGUGAACGCUGGCGGUAGGCCUAACACAUGCAAGUCGAACGGCAGCACAGUAAGAGCUUGCUCUUACGGGUGGCGAGUGGCGGACGGGUGAGGAAUACAUCGGAAUCUACUUUUUCGUGGGGGAUAACGUAGGGAAACUUACGCUAAUACCGCAUACGACCUACGGGUGAAAGCAGGGGAUCUUCGGAACUUGCGCGAUUGAAUGAGCCGAUGUCGGAUUAGCUAGUUGGCGGGGUAAAGGCCCACCAAGGCGACGAUCCGUAGCUGGUCUGCGAGGAUGAUCAGCCACACUGGAACUGAGACACGGUCCAGACUCCUACGGGAGGCAGCAGUGGGGAAUAUUGGACAAUGGGCGCAAGCCUGAUCCAGCCAUACCGCGUGGGUGAAGAAGGCCUUCGGGUUGUAAAGCCCUUUUGUUGGGAAAGAAAAGCAGCAGGUUAAUACCCCGCUGUUCUGACGGUACCCAAAGAAUAAGCACCGGCUAACUUCGUG